ACUGAGCGGCGGACGGGUGAGUAACGCGUGGGUAACCUGCCUCAUACAGGGGGAUAACAGUUAGAAAUGACUGCUAAUACCGCAUAAGACCACGGUACCGCAUGGUACAGUGGUAAAAACUCCGGUGGUAUGGGAUGGACCCGCGUCUGAUUAGGUAGUUGGUGGGGUAACGGCCUACCAAGCCGACGAUCAGUAGCCGACCUGAGAGGGUGACCGGCCACAUUGGGACUGAGACACGGCCCAG
RNAcentral lists this ribosomal RNA (244 nucleotides) under uncultured bacterium. RNAcentral's name for it is "partial 16S ribosomal RNA". It matches the Rfam family "Bacterial small subunit ribosomal RNA", at positions 90 to 334 of the family's 1533-position model. The record is from RNAcentral.